UGUGUACAAUAAUCCAGCAACUGAAGAGAGGUGAAGUCUGUUGAAGAAAUCAUAUCCUGGAGGAUUCAAAAGAAUUUUGUCCUUUUGUGUUGAGCAAUGCCAUAACGUUUCGAUGAAGGCAGAAGGUGUCAGCAUCGCCUCGAGUAAAGCAGGAAGUCCUCCGAGCUUCACUUUUCAGUUUCCAAUAUGCAGAAUGAAUUUUACCACCCUCACAUCAGGGAUACAGAUUGUUGCUGUGCCAGGAAAGUGAGGAGCUCAGUGGAAGGACUCUGGUGCAAGCAGAGCUAACCUGUAAUUACAGCUGAAUAAAGCCAACUGUGUCUGAGGGCUCUUGCAAGAGGCAUUCAAAACUGAUGUACUAUUUAAAAAAAAGAAAAAGAAGACAUGAAGAAGAAAAGAAAAUCACGUCUGCUGUGCCAGAAGAGCAAUGAGCAGGUGUAACUUGGUUGCUGCAAAGAGAAGAGAGCAGAAGCAGCAAGCAGA
Molecule: long non-coding RNA, 483 nt
Organism: Passer domesticus (house sparrow)
Lineage: Eukaryota; Metazoa; Chordata; Aves; Passeriformes; Passeridae
Exons: 4
Source: RefSeq, a predicted model, not a curated record